This 586-nucleotide ribosomal RNA is filed under the name uncultured bacterium. RNAcentral describes it as "partial 16S ribosomal RNA". It matches the Rfam family "Bacterial small subunit ribosomal RNA", at positions 355 to 1375 of the family's 1533-position model. The record is from RNAcentral.
UGGGGAAUUUUGGACAAUGGGCGAAAGCCUGAUCCAGCAAUGCCGCGUGUGUGAAGAAGGCCUUCGGGUUGUAAAGCACUUUUGUCCGGAAAGAAAUCCUUGGCUCUAAUACAGUCGGGGGAUGACGGUACCGGAAGAAUAAGCACCGGCUAACUACGUGCCAGCAGCCGCGGUAAUACGUAGGGUGCAAGCGUUAAUCGGAAUUACUGGGCGUAAAGCGUGCGCAGGCGGUUUGCUAAGACCGAUGUGAAAUCCCCGGGCUCAACCUGGGAACUGCAUUGGUGACUGGCAGGCUAGAGUAUGGCAGAGGGGGGUAGAAUUCCACGUGUAGCAGUGAAAUGCGUAGAGAUGUGGAGGAUACCGAUGGCGAAGGCAGCCCCCUGGGCCAAUACUGACGCUCAUGCACGAAAGCGUGGGGAGCAAAACAGGAUUAGAUACCCUGGUAGUCCACGCCCUAAACGAUGUCAACUAGUUGUUGGGGAUUCAUUUCCUUAGUAACGUAGCUAACGCGUGAAGUUGACCGCCUGGGGAGUACGGUCGCAAAGAUUAAAACUCAAAGGAAUUGACGGGGUCAUAGCUGUUUCCU